AGUGAACGCUGGCGGUAGGCCUAACACAUGCAAGUCGAACGGCAGCACAGUAAGAGCUUGCUCUUACGGGUGGCGAGUGGCGGACGGGUGAGGAAUACAUCGGAAUCUACUUUUUCGUGGGGGAUAACGUAGGGAAACUUACGCUAAUAACGCAUACGACCUACGGGUGAAAGCAGGGGAUCUUCGGACCUUGCGCGAUUGAAUGAGCCGAUGUCGGAUUAGCUAGUUGGCGGGGUAAAGGCCCACCAAGGCGACGAUCCGUAGCUGGUCUGAGAGGAUGAUCACCCACACUGGAACUGGGACACGGUCCAGACUCCUACGGGAGGCAGCAGUGGGGAAUAUUGGACAAUGGGCGCAAGCCUGAUCCAGCCAUACCGCGUGGGUGAAGAAGGCCUUCGGGUUGUAAAGCCCUUUUGUUGGGAAAGAAAAGCAGCAGGUUAAUACCCCGCUGUUCUGACGGUACCCAAAGAAGAAGCACCGGCUAACUUCGUG
Molecule: ribosomal RNA, 492 nt
Filed under: uncultured bacterium
Lineage: Bacteria
Description: partial 16S ribosomal RNA
Rfam family: Bacterial small subunit ribosomal RNA
Source: RNAcentral